Molecule: ribosomal RNA, 440 nt
Filed under: uncultured bacterium
Lineage: Bacteria
Description: partial 16S ribosomal RNA
Rfam family: Bacterial small subunit ribosomal RNA
Source: RNAcentral
CCUACGGGUGGCUGCAGUGGGGAAUCUUGCGCAAUGGGCGAAAGCCUGACGCAGCCAUGCCGCGUGAAUGAUGAAGGUCUUAGGAUUGUAAAAUUCUUUCACCGGGGAAGAUAAUGACGGUACCCGGAGAAGAAGCCCCGGCUAACUUCGUGCCAGCAGCCGCGGUAAUACGAAGGGGGCUAGCGUUGCUCGGAAUUACUGGGCGUAAAGGGCGCGUAGGCGGACAGUUUAGUCAGAGGUAAAAGCCCAGGGCUCAACCUUGGAACUGCCUUUGAUACUGGCUGUCUUGAGUUCGGGAGAGGUGAGUGGAAUGCCGAGUGUAGAGGUGAAAUUCGUAGAUAUUCGGCGGAACACCAGUGGCGAAGGCGACUCACUGGCCCGAUACUGACGCUGAGGCGCGAAAGCGUGGGGAGCAAACAGGAUUAGAUACCCCAGUAGUC